RNAcentral lists this ribosomal RNA (214 nucleotides) under uncultured Glomeromycotina. RNAcentral's name for it is "partial 28S ribosomal RNA". The record is from RNAcentral. Lineage: Eukaryota; Fungi; Glomeromycota.
UCGUUUAAAGCCAUUACGUCAGCAUCCUUAGCAAAAUUUUUGAUCGCUCUAACUUAUGACACCAUUACUCACCGGUACCAAGAAUGUUGAUACAAGCGAGAUGACGUCCAGAGAUCAGCGACAAGCCAAAGGCAUUUGCUGCAAUUCCUCGAUCCCACAGGCUGCAUCACCCAAGGUUAUAACACUCUCCCGAAGCAGAGCUACUUUUCCCCAA